UUAAAGUUUAAUUUUAACUUAAAAUAAUUUAUUUUUAUUUUAUUUUACAUGUAAAUUUUUGUAAGAAUAAAAUUUUAUUUUAAUAAUAUUUUUUAUUUAUUUUAUUCUCAGUAAUUAAUUUUAUUUAUGAAAGAAAUUUUGAAUUAGUAAAUUAUAUAAUAUUAGUAAAAAUUGUGCCAGCAACUGCGGUUAUACAAUUAAUAUAAAUAAAUUAGUUUAUUUAGAGUUAAAAUGAAUUAUUUAAAUAUAGAAUUAAAUUUAUUAGGUUAAAUUUUAAAUUUAUAUAAUUUUUAUUUUAUGAUUAUUUUAAGCUCAAAAAUUUUAUUAAUAAACUAGGAUUAGAUACCCUAUUAUUUAAAAAAUAAUUUAAUUAAAUAGAGUAGUAUUAGUUAUAUUCUUAAAACUUAAAAAAUUUGGCGGUAUUUUAAUCUAUUCAGAGGAACUUGUUUUAUAAUUGAUAAUCCUCAUUUAAUCUUACUUAAUUUUAUUAAAUUUGUAUACCGUUGUCAUCAGAAUUUCUUUAAAAAGUAAUAAUUUUCUAAAAUUUUUAUUAAUAAUAAUGUCAAAUCAAGGUGCAGUUUAUAAUUAAGUAAAAAUGAGUUACAAUAAAUUUAUUUAUUACGAAUUAAAAAUUGAAAUAUUUUUAUAAAGGAGGAUUUGAUAGUAAAAUAAAAUUAAUAAUUUUAUUUGAUUAUAGUUCUAAAAUAUGCACAUAUCGCCCGUCGCUCUCGUUCUUUAAAAUGAGAUAAGUCGUAACAUAGUAGAGGUACUGGAAAGUGUCUCUAGAUUACA
RNAcentral lists this non-coding RNA (792 nucleotides) under Mycomya sp. WQY006. The record is from RNAcentral. Lineage: Eukaryota; Metazoa; Arthropoda; Insecta; Diptera; Mycetophilidae.